RNAcentral lists this ribosomal RNA (270 nucleotides) under uncultured bacterium. RNAcentral's name for it is "partial 16S ribosomal RNA". It matches the Rfam family "Bacterial small subunit ribosomal RNA", at positions 29 to 326 of the family's 1533-position model. The record is from RNAcentral.
AGCGAACGCUGGCGGCAUGCUUAACACAUGCAAGUCGCGCGGCCGGCAACGGCAGCGGCGGACGGGUGAGUAACGCGUGGGGAUCUGUCUCUGGGUGGGGGACAACCGUGGGAAACUACGGCUAAUACCGCAUGAAGCCUGAGGGCCAAAGCAGCGAUGCGCCUGGAGAGGAACCCGCGUACGAUUAGCUUGUUGGCGGGGUAAAGGCCCACCAAGGCGACGAUCGUUAGCUGGUCUGAGAGGAUGAUCAGCCACACUGGGACUGAGACA